GGAGAGAUGCUCGAGUGGUUGAAGAGGCACGCCUGGAAAGCGUGUAUACGUCAAAAGCGUAUCGCGGGUUCGAAUCCCGCUCUCUCCGCUA
Molecule: transfer RNA, 91 nt
Filed under: Dysgonamonadaceae bacterium
Lineage: Bacteria; Pseudomonadati; Bacteroidota; Bacteroidia; Bacteroidales; Dysgonomonadaceae
Description: tRNA-Ser
Rfam family: tRNA
About the family: Transfer RNA (tRNA) molecules are approximately 80 nucleotides in length. Their secondary structure includes four short double-helical elements and three loops (D, anti-codon, and T loops). Further hydrogen bonds mediate the characteristic L-shaped molecular structure. tRNAs have two regions of fundamental functional importance: the anti-codon, which is responsible for specific mRNA codon recognition, and the 3' end, to which the tRNAs corresponding amino acid is attached (by aminoacyl-tRNA synthetases). tRNAs cope with the degeneracy of the genetic code in two manners: having more than one tRNA (with a specific anti-codon) for a particular amino acid; and 'wobble' base-pairing, i.e. permitting non-standard base-pairing at the 3rd anti-codon position.
Source: RNAcentral